AUGAUCCAGACAGUUGCUACGGGAUCUUACACAAAACAAACAGUGAGCGAAGAAUUUAACAACGGUCGUUUCACAGUAUCAGAGGGGCAGGCUCUGUAUUUUCUUACAAUAAGAAACAUCCAUCAAGAAGAUGAAGCAACAUAUUUCUGUCAGUAUGGAUCAGCUUAUUCACAGACCUUUGACACAAGCAUCUACUUGGCUGUAAAUGGUCACAGUGAACAGAAAUCAGUCAAUGUGAAACAAACUCCGGAGGCAGUGUCAGUCCACCCAGGCAGCUCCGUGACUCUCCAGUGUUCACUUUUCUCCAAUAACAAAGAGAACAGAAGCGAGUGCCCAGAUGAACACAGAAUGUACUGGUUCAGAGCGGGAUCAGGACAAUCCCAUGCUACUAUUAUUUACACUCACAGUAACUACAGUCAAAAGCAAGAGGGAAGUCGUUGUGUCCACAGUCUGUCCCAAACUAUUCAGAGCUCCUCUGAUGCUGCGAUCUACUACUGUGCAGUGGUCACAUGUGGAGAGAUCGUGUUUGGUGAAGGAACUCAAGUGGAGAUAAAUUGA
Molecule: non-coding RNA, 558 nt
Organism: Pelmatolapia mariae (spotted tilapia)
Lineage: Eukaryota; Metazoa; Chordata; Actinopteri; Cichliformes; Cichlidae
Source: the annotation of a RefSeq genome assembly